This 396-nucleotide ribosomal RNA is filed under the name Phaeobacter inhibens. RNAcentral describes it as "bacterial SSU rRNA". It matches the Rfam family "Bacterial small subunit ribosomal RNA", at positions 394 to 807 of the family's 1533-position model. The record is from RNAcentral. Lineage: Bacteria; Pseudomonadati; Pseudomonadota; Alphaproteobacteria; Rhodobacterales; Roseobacteraceae.
AUGCCGCGUGAGUGAUGAAGGCCUUAGGGUCGUAAAGCUCUUUCGCCAGGGAUGAUAAUGACAGUACCUGGUAAAGAAACCCCGGCUAACUCCGUGCCAGCAGCCGCGGUAAUACGGAGGGGGUUAGCGUUGUUCGGAAUUACUGGGCGUAAAGCGCACGUAGGCGGAUUAGAAAGUCGGGGGUGAAAUCCCAGGGCUCAACCCUGGAACUGCCUUCAAAACUGCUGGUCUUGAGUUCGAGAGAGGUGAGUGGAAUUCCGAGUGUAGAGGUGAAAUUCGUAGAUAUUCGGAGGAACACCAGUGGCGAAGGCGGCUCACUGGCUCGAUACUGACGCUGAGGUGCGAAAGUGUGGGGAGCAAACAGGAUUAGAUACCCUGGUAGUCCACACCGUAAAC